CCUACGGGCGGCAGCAGUGGGGAAUAUUGGACAAUGGGGGCAACCCUGAUCCAGCCAUGCCGCGUGUGUGAAGAAGGCCCUCGGGUUGUAAAGCACUUUCAGUGAGGAAGAACGCCUGGUGGUUAAUACCCAUCAGGAAAGACAUCACUCACAGAUGAAGCACCGGCUAACUCCGUGCCAGCAGCCGCGGUAAUACGGAGGGUGCGAGCGUUAAUCGGAAUUACUGGGCGUAAAGCGCGCGUAGGUGGCUUGAUAAGCCGGUUGUGAAAGCCCCGGGCUCAACCUGGGAACGGCAUCCGGAACUGUCAAGCUAGAGUGCAGGAGAGGAAGGUAGAAUUCCCGGUGUAGCGGUGAAAUGCGUAGAGAUCGGGAGGAAUACCAGUGGCGAAGGCGGCCUUCUGGACUGACACUGACACUGAGGUGCGAAAGCGUGGGUAGCAAACAGGAUUAGAUACCCUGGUAGUC
This 465-nucleotide ribosomal RNA is filed under the name Vreelandella stevensii. Its description in RNAcentral is "partial 16S ribosomal RNA". It matches the Rfam family "Bacterial small subunit ribosomal RNA", at positions 338 to 795 of the family's 1533-position model. The record is from RNAcentral. Lineage: Bacteria; Pseudomonadati; Pseudomonadota; Gammaproteobacteria; Oceanospirillales; Halomonadaceae.